CAAUAGCGUAUAUUAAAGUUGUUGCGGUUAAAAAGCUCGUAGUUGGAUUUCGGCGGACAGGGGGCGGUUCGAUAUUUGUCGCUACUGCCCCAUUUGUCCGUGUUUUUGGCGGAGGUUUCAGGGUGCUCUUCACCGAGUGUCCUGGAUGCCGUCAGGUUUACUUUGAAAAAAUUAGAGUGCUCAAAGCAGGCUUUACACGCUUGAAUAUUCGUGCAUGGAAUAAUGGAAUAGGACGUCGUUUCUAUUUUGUUGGUUUUCGGAAAUCGACGUAAUGAUUAACAGGGACAGUCGGGGGCAUUAGUAUUCAGACGACAGAGGUGAAAUUCUUGGACCGUCUGAAGACUAACUACUGCGAAAGCAUUUGCCAAGAAUGUUUUCAUUAA
RNAcentral lists this ribosomal RNA (383 nucleotides) under uncultured eukaryote. RNAcentral describes it as "partial 18S ribosomal RNA". It matches the Rfam family "Eukaryotic small subunit ribosomal RNA", at positions 592 to 976 of the family's 1831-position model. The record is from RNAcentral.